CCUACGGGUGACAGCAGUGGGGAAUAUUGGACAAUGGGCGAAAGCCUGAUCCAGCCAUGCCGCGUGUGUGAAGAAGGCCUUCGGGUUGUAAAGCACUUUCAGUGGGGAAGAAAGCCUUGGGGCUAAUACCCUCGAGGAAGGACAUCACCCACAGAAGAAGCACCGGCUAACUCCGUGCCAGCAGCCGCGGUAAUACGGAGGGUGCGAGCGUUAAUCGGAAUUACUGGGCGUAAAGCGCGCGUAGGCGGUCUGAUAAGCCGGUUGUGAAAGCCCCGGGCUCAACCUGGGAACGGCAUCCGGACCUGUCAGGCUAGAGUGCAGGAGAGGAAGGUAGAAUUCCCGGUGUAGCGGUGAAAUGCGUAGAGAUCGGGAGGAAUACCAGUGGCGAAGGCGGCCUUCUGGACUGACACUGACGCUGAGGUGCGAAAGCGUGGGUAGCAAACAGGAUUAGAUACCCUUGUAGUC
This 465-nucleotide ribosomal RNA is filed under the name Vreelandella stevensii. RNAcentral describes it as "partial 16S ribosomal RNA". It matches the Rfam family "Bacterial small subunit ribosomal RNA", at positions 338 to 795 of the family's 1533-position model. The record is from RNAcentral. Lineage: Bacteria; Pseudomonadati; Pseudomonadota; Gammaproteobacteria; Oceanospirillales; Halomonadaceae.